GUUAAAAUCGUCGACGUACACA
RNAcentral lists this microRNA (22 nucleotides) under Drosophila mojavensis. RNAcentral's name for it is "Dmo-Novel-7-P4_3p* (star (passenger))". The record is from RNAcentral. Lineage: Eukaryota; Metazoa; Arthropoda; Insecta; Diptera; Drosophilidae.